This 6787-nucleotide long non-coding RNA is filed under the name Sus scrofa (pig). RNAcentral describes it as "lncRNA (ENSSSCG00055005002.1)". Lineage: Eukaryota; Metazoa; Chordata; Mammalia; Artiodactyla; Suidae. The record is from RNAcentral.
CUGAUUUACUGCUUGUGUUAUUAGCAUUUUUCUUUAUAUGGUUUUUAGUGGUUGUUCCAUAUUAUAUAUACAUUACUUAUUGCAGUUUACUAUGUCAACAUUCUACUAGCUCAAGUUAAGUGUAGAAACCAACCUUCCUUUAUGUCCUUCACCCUCCCCCAUCUAUACCAUAAUUGUCUUAAAUACUUCCUUUAAAUACAUUUUAGAUACAACAACAAAGCAUGAUCCAUUAAAGAAAAUCUUGAUGAAAAAAAAAUUGAUAAGUUGGACUUUAUUAAAUAGUACUACUCUAUGGAACACAAUACAAAGAAGAGAGACAAGCCAUAGUAGGAGAAAAUAUUUGCAAAAUACAUAUCAGAUAAAUGACCUGUACCCAAAAUAUACAAAGAACUCUUAAAACUCAAUGAUAAUGGAUAAGCAAUGAGAUCCUGCUGUAUAGUACUGGGAACUAUAUCUAGUCACUUAUGAUGGAGCAUGAUGGAGAAUAAUGUGAGAAAAAGAAUGUAUAUAUAUAUGCGUGACUGGGUCACUUUGCUGUACAGCAGAAAAUUGACAGAACACUAUAAACCAGCUAUAAUGGAAAAAAUCAUUUAAUAUUUUAAAAAACUCAAUAAGAAAAUAAGAAAUUCAGUCAAGAAAAUAAACAAAAUAUCUGAAUAGUCACCUCACCAAAGAAGAUACACAAAUGGCAAAUAAGAAUAUGAAAAGAUACUCAACACUAUAUAUCAUAAGAGAAUUGCAAAUUAAAAUGAUGAGAUACCACUACACACCUAUUAGAAUGGAUAAAUAUUUUUAUAAAGACAAGUGCUGGGAAUUCCCUGGUGGCCUACCAGUUAAGGACUCAGCAUUGUCACUGCUAUGGCUCAGGUUACGACUGUGGCUCAGAUUCAAUCGCUGGCCUAGGAACUUCUGCAUGCCAUAGGCAUGCCUCCCCCCCGCCAAAAAAAAUGCUUUAAAAAAAAAUAUAUAUAGGACAAAUGCUAGCAAGGACACACAGCAACAUGAACUCUCAUUCACUGCUGGUGAGAAUGCAAGAUACAACAGUCACUUUGAAAGAUAAUUUGGCAGUUUGUAACAAAACUAAACAUACUCUUACCAUAUAAUCCAGCAAUCACAUUCCUUGAUAUUUACCCAAAGGAGCUAAAAACUUUUCUCUGCAAAACAGCCUGCACAUACAUGUUUAUAGCAGCUCUAUUCAUAAAGCUAUGGACUUCAGGUAACAACAACAUAUCAGUCAUGAAAAAUCAGAAGCAACCAAGAUGUUCUUUAAUUGGUGAAUGGUAAACAAUAUAUCAAGACAAUGGAAUAUUUUUUAGCACUAAAAAGAAAUGAGCUAUCAAGGUAUGAAAAGACAUGAAGGAAACUUUAAUGCAUAUUAAGUGAAAGAAGGCAGUCUGAUAGGGAUGCAUAUUGUAUAAUUCUGACUAUGCAACAUGGAAAAGGCAAAACUAUAGAGACAGUAAAAGGAUCAAUGGUUGCUGGGAUUGGGAGGAGAGAGAAGGAUGAACAGAUGGAGCACAGAAGAAACUAUUCUGUGUGAUACUGUAAUGCUGGAUACAUGACACCAUGCAUUUAUCAAACCCAUAGUGUUAUACACAAAGAGUGAACUUUAUAGAAUAUAGUUAAUAGUAAUAUAUGAAUAAUGGUUCAUUAGCUGUAAUAAGUGUACCACACUGGUGCAAAAUGGGCGAACUCUGUGAUUGGGUAGAGAGGGUAGUAUCAAAAUAUUACCUACCCAUUGAGAACUCUUAUAGGAACUCUCUGUACUAUCUAAAAAGAAAGGGUGAACUAAAAUUACUAUGCUGUUGUUUUUUAAGUAUAAACACAGAAGAAAGUCAUUAUCUAACUUUAAAAUACUCAGAAACAAAAAUUAUCUAUGAGAAUUUUCUGAAAGAAAAAGCCAAAAAUUACUUCCAGAUAAAACAGCUACCGAAAUUUAUAUGGGCAAUGGAAAUAAGCUAAAAUAGUUAAAGCAAUUUUUUAGAAGAGAAAAAUGUUUAAAGACAAAAUACAUGAUGACUUAAUAAAAAUCUACAAUAAUCAACAUCAUGGUAUUAGUAAAAGGGGAAAAAACAGAUCAAAGGAACAAAAUGGAACAGAACUAGAGCAACAAAUACACAGACAAAUCGUUUCUGACAAAGGUGUCAAGUCAGUUCAAUAAGAAAAGGGAAGUCUUUUCCAGCAAUAAUGCUAGAACAACUGAAUAUCCACAUGCAAAAAUAAUAGGCAUUGACCAUUACUUAAUGCAAAAUGUAAAAAUUAACUUGAAAUGGAUCAAAGACCUAAACGUAAGAAGUAAAAUUAUGAAACUCCUAGAAGAAAACAAAAUUUUUCCCAACUUGGUAUUACAUAAGUAUUCUUCAUGUAAAAUUUUUUAAAUCCACAAACUAUUAAAAACAAUCAUGAAGGAAUUUCAUCAAAAAAAUUUCUCAUCUCUGAAUGAUAUCCUUUAAGAAAAUAAAAAUACAUCACAAACAAUGGGAGAAAAUAUUCACAAUACAUGUCUGACAAAGGACUUCUAUCUGGAAAAUAUAAAGAAACAUGCUACCUCAAAUUAAGACAAACAACUCAAUUAAAAAUGGUCAAAAAAAUAGGACAUUUCACCAAAGAAGAUACAGAUGUCGAAUAACACAUGAAAAGAUAUCCAACAUCAUAGUCACUAGAGAAAUGCAAAUUAAAAUUGAUAAGAUACUACUAAACACCUACUAGAAUAGCUUUAAGAAAAAAAUAUGAAAUGCUAGUAAAGAUGAAGAAAAACUGUAAACUUUUAUACAUUUCAGGUGGGAAUAUAAAAUGGUAAAGCUUUUUUUGAAAACUGUCAGUCUCAAUAAGAGACAUAAAUAAGUUAGACAUACUCUUAAAAUAUGAUCCAGUAAUCCUACCCCUAGGUAUUUCCCUAAGAUGAAAAUAAUAUAUCUAUAUAUCAAAACUGGUAUGCAAAUAUUCAUAGAGGCAAAAACUGGAGAGGCCAAAAAGUCCUUCAAUCAGUGAAUGAAUAAACAAAAAUCUAUGGCGUUGUCUAUUUUAAAUUAUUUGUAAGUGAUAUCUAAAUUGAAAAAAAAAAGGAAGACAACAAACUUGGAGAAAAUAUUUGCAAUUUAUUUCCACAUAGGGCCACACCCCUUUAAACAUAUAAAGAAUUCUUUAAAAUUGCAGGAAAAAAUUAUCAAAAAUCCAAUGGAGAAGUUCUCAUUGUGGUUCAAAGAGUUAAGGACCCAGUGAUCCCUGGCCUUGUUCAGUGGGUUGAGGAUCUGGCGUUGCUAUAAGCUGUGGCAUACGUCACAGAUGAGGUUUGGAUCUUGUAUUGUCAUGGCAGUGGCGUAGGCCUCAGCUGCAACUCCAAUUCAGUCCCUAGCCCUGGAACAUCCAUAUGCUACAGGUGUGGCCAUUAAAAAAAAAAAAAUCCAAUAGAUAAAUGGAAAAAGAAGUAGUUACAUAAAAAAACUUAUAAAGACGAUAUUUAAAUUGAGAAAAUGAUCAAACUCACUCAAAAAAAUUUUAAAUGCAAAUUUAAAAUUCACUGAGAUGUCAUUCCUCACCAGAUUGGCAAUAUUUUUAAAAUAUGAAAAUUGAGAAAUGUGAAUAAAAUCAGUGAGUGGACUGUAUCGAUAUCGAUACCCUUAUUGUAUUUCCGCAUGUUUUGAAAAAUGUUACCACUGAGAACUAGGUAAACAAUACAUGGGCUCUCUCUGUGCUAUUUCUUACAACUAUAUGUGAGUUUACAACUAUUCCAAAAUAAUCACACCAUUGUAUAUGAUACUUAAAAGACGGAAAAAAGUUUCAUUAAGACAGGCUUGACUAAAUGUGAUAAAUACGUAUAAAGGAAAAGUAAGAAGCCACUGCAAAUAUAUGUACCUAUGUGUACCUAAUGCAUUAUGUGUGCAUAUAUACAUAUACAAACACAUACAACACACACACACUUAUGACUAUGGUUUAUUGUUAAACGGAAAAAAUAAAAACAGCAUGUUCGUUAAGAUCCUACAUUUGCUUAAAACAAAUACAUACAUAUAGACACAGAUGUCUAUGAGGAAAACACAUUCAGUUGGCAAAGUUGUGAGGACAUAGGAACUCCCAUAUAUGAAUGGUGCAAUGCAAACUGUACAAUCAUUUUUAGAGGGAUAUUUGGUAAUAUUUAAAAGUAACUAAUAACUUAUAGGACUAUCUAUCCCAUAGAUAUAUCUUAAACAAAAUGAAAAUUUAUAUAUACAAAUUUAUUCAUUUUAGCCUUGUUUGCAAUUGGGAAACACCAGAAAAAAUCUCAAUGUCCAUACGCAAGAGUUAAAUAAAUUACAGUCCAUCCAAACAAUGAAGUACAAUGUAGCAGUAAAAACAAAGAAUGAGGAAAAUCUCUAUGACCUGAUAUGAAUUGAUUUCCCGUAUACACUGGAAAUGAGAAAAAAAAAAUCCAAAACCACAGCCAUAGAGUGCAAUCUUUCAUGUAAUAAAAAAUGAGAUAUAUAAAAAUAUACAUGUACUAGUUUAUUUGUGCAAAAGAUACACAAGGAUAGAGCAGAAACUACUAAGAUGGGUUACCUACAGGAGGUGGUUGGGAAUAGGGUAGUAAGGAUCAGAAAAUGGGGAAAAGGUAUUAGAAAUGUGGAAGGGAGUGACACUUCUCUUUGUAAACCUUUUUGUACAGAUCUGACACUUGGAACCAUGGUAAUGUUUCAUACAACCAAAAAGUAAACACAUAUUCAACCUUACCAGCAUGUAAGGGAAUCUCAAAAUGGAAUGCAAAUAAUAACAAACCAAAGUGUAAACCAAAUAGAUGACAGAAACAAACCAAACAGGGUGGAUAAUAAAAUAACAAACAGUAUUUUUGACUAUACACUGUAAGACUAAAGGCAAACAGAACUGUACAGAAAUACUGUAGUUAGGAAAUUUGCUUCUCAGAAGGGUCUAUUUUAGUAAUUCUGAAACUCUUCAUGGUUUAGACAUAUACACAAAAACAAAAAAUUCUAACGUUCUAAAAUUGAGUAAUCAAGCAUAUAUGCUGAGAAUAAUGAGAGUCAGGGUUCUCAUUUUCAAAAAAAAAUGAAUUAUAUUUAAGAAAAAAAAAAGACUAGAAUAAAAAGAAUCCUGAACUUUUAACUGGAAUCAGACACAGUAAUAGGAAUUCAUGGUUUAACAUGGAAAACACAUGAAAGAAAACCAUACAUAAACACAAACAUACAGUAAAAUAUACAUAGAAAUAGGGAUGUCUAUGUAUGUGCAUAUAAAUGUAUACUUCCAAGCUUUAUUGAUUGUGAAGGUCUGGGAAAAAUGAUAUCCCAGCAGCAAUGAGCACAGAAAUAGUUUUCUAAAAACUGUUCUCUGAAAACGGAAACCAGGAUUCCUUAUAGAAAGGACCAAUGCCAGAGUUGGGGUGGUGGCAAAACAAGAUGUGCCUAAAAUAUACUGUGGUGUUAGAAAGUUAUAGCAAUGUUCAAUAAACAUGGAAACAUAUUAAAAGGACAGAAGAGCCAAUCUAAUGGUGAAAGCCAAUGGCCAAAACCUGUCAGCCACAGCAACAAAAUAAUGAUAGUAUUAUAACCAAAAAAAUGAAAUAAAUAUCAGUGAGUCCAUACUAACAUAAAUAUCUUGUUAAAUAAAUAAAAUGGUGAGAAGGGACAGCUCUUCCUUGCAGAAUUCCAAUUAAUAAAUUUGGAAGGAAUAAUGGAAAUUUUAAACAAAAUGAGAUAAAAACUAACACAAUCAUCAUGGCAUGAUAAGAAACACGACAUUUGGAGUUCCUGUGGUGGCUCAGCAGUAAUAAAACAAAGUAGUAUCCAUAAGAACACGGGUUCAAGCUCUCACCUUGCUCAAUGGGUUAAGGAUCUGGCAUUGUCGUGAUCUGUGAUGUAGAUCACAGACGCAGCUCAGAUCCCAUGUUGCUAUGACUGUGGCAAAGACCAGCAGCUACAGCUCCGAUUCGACCACUAGCCUGGGAACCAUAUGCCAUGGCUGCGGCCCUAAAAAGACAAAAAAAAAAAAAAUGACAUUUGCAUAAUCUCAAAUUAUAUCUCCAUAAGAUACAUAUAAAAUUGAAAGGGAAAAGCAGUAACUUUACAGUGGAAAACCCUGGUAUACUUUAACCAAGAGAUCAAAAGUUAACAUCCAUGUAUUAAGACAAACUGAUAUUAUGCACAUAUGAUGCAGAAGAAAUGGCACAAUAUUACUUCAGAAGCAUGAUUGCCAAGUUUGCAUAACAUGAAUUAAAUCAUGAAAAAUUCCAGUAAAAUAAGACUGUAAAACAACUAUUAUAAAAAUGCUCAUACAAGCAGUCACAUUCUUGCAACAAAUACUGAAAUAGAAAAUCUUGUCAAUAAAAAUGAAAUAAAGAAAAACAAGUAGAAAUUGGCUAUAUUCUUUAAAGACAAAAACAGACCUCAAAGCAAAGAAAAUUACCACGCAUAAAGUGGAAUUACAUAAUGGUAAAAUAGUCAAUUCAACAAGAAGCCACAACAAUUAAAUGUAUUUAGCACCAAACAGAGCUUCGUAAUAUGUGAAACAAAAACUGACAAAAUAAGAAAUAGACAAAUUGACAAGUAUACUUCAACACUUCUCUGUCAGUAUUAGAAUUAACAGGCAGAAAAUCAGCAAGAGCCUAAGACUGAACAAGAUCAUCAACUAAGGAAACCUCUGCAGUGGUUAUACAACAUUCCAUGCAACAAUAAUAGAAGUCAUACUCUUUUUAAGUACACAUAACAACAUUCACAGAAAGCAAAGCCUAAUAUACAUUAAAAAAAAUUGAAAGUAUACAAAGUAUUUUCUAAAACCGUAAUAUAAUUCAACUAGAAAUUAAUAA